GAUGAACGCUGGCGGCGUGCCUAAUACAUGCAAGUCGAGCGAAUGGAUUAAGAGCUUGCUCUUAUGAAGUUAGCGGCGGACGGGUGAGUAACACGUGGGUAACCUGCCCAUAAGACUGGGAUAACUCCGGGAAACCGGGGCUAAUACCGGAUAACAUUUUGAACCGCAUGGUUCGAAAUUGAAAGGCGGCUUCGGCUGUCACUUAUGGAUGGACCCGCGUCGCAUUAACUAGUUGGUGAGGUAACGGCUCACCAAGGCAACGAUGCGUAGCCGACCUGAGAGGGUGGUCGGCCACACUGGGACUGAGACACGGCACAGACUCCUACGGGAGGCAGCAGUAGGGAAUCUUCCGCAAUGGACGAAAGUCUGACGGAGCAACGCCGCGUGAGUGAUGAAGGCUUUCGGGUCGUAAAACUCUGUUGUUAGGGAAGAACAAGUGCUAGUUGAAUAAGCUGGCACCUUGACGGUACCUAACCAGAAAGCCACGGCUAACUACGUGCCAGCCGCCGCAGUAA
This 515-nucleotide ribosomal RNA is filed under the name uncultured bacterium. RNAcentral's name for it is "partial 16S ribosomal RNA". It matches the Rfam family "Bacterial small subunit ribosomal RNA", at positions 28 to 523 of the family's 1533-position model. The record is from RNAcentral.